Molecule: non-coding RNA, 72 nt
Organism: Candidatus Curtissbacteria bacterium RBG_13_35_7
Lineage: Bacteria; Candidatus Curtissiibacteriota
Source: Rfam
GCGGGUGUAGUUUAGUGGUAGAAUGUCUCCUUCCCAAGGAGAAGAUCGUGGGUUCGAAUCCCAUCACCCGCU